AAUGAACGCUGGCGGCAUGCCUAACACAUGCAAGUCGAACGAGACCUUCGAAUCUACUUGCUCACGGGUGCGUAACGCGUGGGAAGGUGCCCGUAGGUACGGGAGUACUCCCCGACAGGGGGGCUAACACCGGGUAAUUUCUGCGGAUAACAGAUUCAUCGCGUGUGGAGGGGCCGGCGUUGGUUUAGCUAGUCGGUAGGGUAAAAGCCUACCAAGGCGACGAUCCAUAGCUGGUCUGAGAGGAUGAUCGGCCACACUGGGACUGAGACACGGCCCAGACUCCUACGGGAGGCAGCAGUGGGGAAUAUUGGACAAUGGGCGAAAGCCUGAUCCAGCAAUGCCGGGGGAGUGAUGAAGUCCUGAGGGUUGAAAAGCUCUUUGACCCGGGAUGAUAAUGACGGUACCGGGAGAAUAAGCUCCGGCUAACUCCGUG
RNAcentral lists this ribosomal RNA (433 nucleotides) under uncultured bacterium. RNAcentral describes it as "partial 16S ribosomal RNA". It matches the Rfam family "Bacterial small subunit ribosomal RNA", at positions 29 to 507 of the family's 1533-position model. The record is from RNAcentral.